AGUGAACGCUGGCGGUAGGCCUAACACAUGCAAGUCGAACGGCAGCACAGUAAGAGCUUGCUCUUACGGGUGGCGAGUGGCGGACUGGUGAGGAAUACAUCGGAAUCUACUUUUUCGUUGGGGAUAACGUUGGGAAACUUACGCUAAUACCGCAUACGACCUACGGGUGACAGCCGGGGCUCUUCGGACCUUGCGGGUUUUCAUGAGCCGAUGUCGGAUUAUCUAGUUGGCGGGGUAAAGGCACACAAAGGCGACUAUCCGUAGCUGCUCUGAGAGGAUGAACAGCCACACUGGAACUCAGACACGGUCCAGACUCCUACGGGAGGCAGCAGUGGGGAAUAUUGGACAAUGGGCGCAAGCCUGAUCCAGCCAUACCGCGUGAGUGAAGAAGGCCUUCGGGUUGUAAAGCCCUUUUGUUGGGAAAGAAAAGCAGCAUGUUAAUAUCCCGCUGUUCUGACGGUACCCAAAGAAUAAGCACCGGCUAACUUCGUG
This 492-nucleotide ribosomal RNA is filed under the name uncultured bacterium. RNAcentral describes it as "partial 16S ribosomal RNA". It matches the Rfam family "Bacterial small subunit ribosomal RNA", at positions 29 to 507 of the family's 1533-position model. The record is from RNAcentral.